Molecule: ribosomal RNA, 516 nt
Filed under: Bacillus sp. (in: firmicutes)
Lineage: Bacteria; Bacillati; Bacillota; Bacilli; Caryophanales; Bacillaceae
Description: bacterial SSU rRNA
Rfam family: Bacterial small subunit ribosomal RNA
Source: RNAcentral
GGGAGGCAGCAGUAGGGAAUCUUCCGCAAUGGACGAAAGUCUGACGGAGCAACGCCGCGUGAGUGAUGAAGGCUUUCGGGUCGUAAAACUCUGUUGUUAGGGAAGAACAAGUGCUAGUUGAAUAAGCUGGCACCUUGACGGUACCUAACCAGAAAGCCACGGCUAACUACGUGCCAGCAGCCGCGGUAAUACGUAGGUGGCAAGCGUUAUCCGGAAUUAUUGGGCGUAAAGCGCGCGCAGGUGGUUUCUUAAGUCUGAUGUGAAAGCCCACGGCUCAACCGUGGAGGGUCAUUGGAAACUGGGAGACUUGAGUGCAGAAGAGGAAAGUGGAAUUCCAUGUGUAGCGGUGAAAUGCGUAGAGAUAUGGAGGAACACCAGUGGCGAAGGCGACUUUCUGGUCUGUAACUGACACUGAGGCGCGAAAGCGUGGGGAGCAAACAGGAUUAGAUACCCUGGUAGUCCNCGCCGNNAACGAUGAGUGCUAAGUGUUAGAGGGUUUCCGCCCUUUAGUGCUGA